RNAcentral lists this transfer RNA (74 nucleotides) under Serratia phage vB_SmaM-Kashira. Its description in RNAcentral is "tRNA-Thr". It matches the Rfam family "tRNA". From Rfam's summary of the family: Transfer RNA (tRNA) molecules are approximately 80 nucleotides in length. The record is from RNAcentral. Lineage: Duplodnaviria; Heunggongvirae; Uroviricota; Caudoviricetes.
GCUGGUUUAGCACACUGGAGAUGCAGUGCACUUGUAAUGCACCUAAGGCGGUUCGAUUCCGCCAACCAGCACCA